AAAAAAGAAGAGCUCAGAGGUGUGGCAUACAUCAACUGAUAGUUCAGAAGAAUGCAAUGGACCCAACCAAUGCUGAAGCCUAUAUCAUCAUAGCUCAAUGCACCAGCCGGGAAUCGAACC
RNAcentral lists this small RNA (120 nucleotides) under Arabidopsis thaliana (thale cress). Its description in RNAcentral is "ATSL116310". Lineage: Eukaryota; Viridiplantae; Streptophyta; Magnoliopsida; Brassicales; Brassicaceae. The record is from RNAcentral.